UGGCUCAGACGGUAAAGCGUCUGUCUACAAUGCAGAAGACCCGGGUUCGAUCCCUGG
RNAcentral lists this transfer RNA (57 nucleotides) under Bos taurus (domestic cattle). It matches the Rfam family "tRNA", at positions 8 to 63 of the family's 71-position model. Rfam says of the family: Transfer RNA (tRNA) molecules are approximately 80 nucleotides in length. Their secondary structure includes four short double-helical elements and three loops (D, anti-codon, and T loops). Further hydrogen bonds mediate the characteristic L-shaped molecular structure. tRNAs have two regions of fundamental functional importance: the anti-codon, which is responsible for specific mRNA codon recognition, and the 3' end, to which the tRNAs corresponding amino acid is attached (by aminoacyl-tRNA synthetases). tRNAs cope with the degeneracy of the genetic code in two manners: having more than one tRNA (with a specific anti-codon) for a particular amino acid; and 'wobble' base-pairing, i.e. permitting non-standard base-pairing at the 3rd anti-codon position. Lineage: Eukaryota; Metazoa; Chordata; Mammalia; Artiodactyla; Bovidae. RNAcentral also lists the same sequence under 5 other names. The record is from Rfam by way of RNAcentral.